AAAAGAAAAAAUCAGAAAAGCUGAAAAGGAAGUAAGGUUUAUACCAAUCGAGGGCAUAUGAAACUGUCCAUAAAUCUCUGGGACGACACAUGCAGUGACAAAUGAUGACGAGCGACCUUCGAAUGAACUUUUUAAGCGGCAGACGUUAGGACCACCGAAUCAGGGGAGUCGACUAGUGAUUUCAACACCUUGUCGCCUAGAAAGGGUCAUUCCCAGGUCAUGUAUAGGAAAGAAAUAGCGGCUCGGGCACUUGGUGGUAGUGAGACGGCAGUGGGGGGCUGCUGGCCAGAUUUUGGAGAGGUUGAAGGUUUUGAGGCAUGGAAUGGAGAAUAGGAGAGCGCGAGGAGGCCGGUGGUGUGAAAUUUUCGGAGUUUGGGGUGGUGAGCGGCGGCUAGGGUUUUGGUUAGGCUUAGAUUUACGGAGAUUGAGAGGGGUUAUGGGGAUUUGCGGUUCAGAUUCAUGAAGAGGAGGAGGAGAGGAAGAGAUUAGCAUUGGUUGGAGGGUGUUUGGCCACCGGAGGACAGCGGCGGCAGAGGAAGAAAAAGAGAGGAGAGAGGGUCUAGGGCUUGGGCAUGUAUGAAAAUGAGGCCAAAAAAUCAAAUUUCUAAAAUUAUAUACGUCAAAUGACAUCAAUUCUGGACCAUUGGAUCAAAGAAAAUAGGUGGCCAAGAUUUGAUCUUGAUCACUUAACCAAAAGGACGUAGUUUCAAUCUAAAACUACGUCGUUUAAACCAUCUCCUGGGAGCCCCAAUUGGACCGGAUUAGUAGACUCUUUGGGCUCCUUAUUUUGGGCCAAUUUUGGUUCAAUUUUAAUUAAAAUAUACUAGUCCAAUCCUUUAACCCCUUAAUUAUACUAGGAUAUUAUUUAAUCCUAAAGAAAAUGUACAAGUAGAAAGAAUUUUUUUUGGUAUAUAUAAUUUAAAGAUGAAAAACUAAAAUAUGAAAAUAAAAGGUAAAAAAUUAUUUUUGGUAUUUUUAAUAAAGGAAUGCAAAUAAAAAUUCACAACCAACUAAAAUCAUCCAAAUACUAGUAUUUGUAGGAGAAUUAAAAUCGAGCAAACAUUAGGUACUCACAGCUGCCCCUCUUUGCUCGGGAACAUGAAGAGUUUUUCGUGCAAAGAAAAGUGAAUGUCAUGACUAAUUUUUGCUCACACAUCACUACAAUGAAAGCAUUUUUUUAAAAAAGGUGACCGAGCCUUGCUUUCGAGAUGCCUACAUAUCCUUGGCUAUAAAGGAAUCAGGUCAGUGUAGUUCUAGAAAUAUUUGGUAGAUGGGACUACCAGACACUGGAGUUAAGACUGUUGUUGCUGCUGCUAUUGCUGUUACUGUUACUCGCUUCCUACAUCAAAAGAAAAAGGGAAGAGCACUACAUAUGUCUGCAAACUAAGGGUACAAAAUUCCUAUCUAUGUGUCUUCUGGAGUCAAAUCUUGGUUCUUGACCUGCUCGCUUGUGUUGACCUUAGAUUGGAUCUUGAUUCCUUUUUGAAGAACAAAUUAUGGCUCAUUCUCGAUUACUUGAUUUCCUGAUCAGAAUUUGAGAAGAUGAAUCUUGAGACACCGAGUUGCUGACACCUCAUCGAGACUAACUCCAGCUGUCUUAUGAUCAACAAUCUUCUAUCUUCUAAGGAGAACUGAAAUUGCAAGCUUUAAUCAUCACAACCUGUGCUAUACGGCUGGGCCUGCAAAAUCAUCAAAGACGAACAAAAUGAACAAAAAAUUUCUACCCCAGUUUGGACUAGAAAUUUUUUGUGAGUUAUUGGGUAAAGUUGCAAAUAAGCAUAUUUUAUUUGAAAGAUGAAAAAAAAAUGAUACUGAAAACUUCAAAUCGAAUAUGCUUCUCUUAGGAGUAAAAACUGAUAAAACUUAUACUAAGAGGUGUAUCUCCCAUGGGUGGCAUUGGAAUGACUGCGAGAUUAAAGGACUCGAACUAGGAAUUGCGUCUCCUAGAAUUAAUGAUUCAUAUUAGUAAGUGCAUCUCCUAUUAGAAUGAAUAGAGUUAACUCAAGCUAGGAAAUGUGUCUCCUACGAAUGAGGUUGAAAGGUUUGAACUAGGAAGUGCGUCUCCUAGGAUUUGAUUGUUUAGAUUAGGAAGUGUGUCUCCUAUUGGAAUGAGGUUGCAAGACUUGUACUAGGAAGUGCAUCUCCUAAGAUUUGAUGGUUUAGAUUAGGAAGUGAGUCUCCUAUUGGAAUGACUCAAAUUAGGAAGUAUGUCUCCUAUAAGUGAGCUUAAAGGACUUGGACUAGGAAGUGCAUCUCCUAGGAUUAAUGGUUCAGAGUAGGAAGUGCGUCUCCUAUUGGAAUGACUCAAACUAGGAAGUGCGUCUCCUACGAGUGAGGUUGAAAGUCUUGGACUAGGAAGUGCAUCUCCUAGGAUUGAUUGUUCAAAGUAAGAAGUGCAUCUCCUAUUGGAAUGACUCAAACUAGGAAGUGUGUCUCCUAUGAGUGAGGUUGAAAGGCUUAGACUAGUAAGUGUGUCUCCUAGGAUUGAUGGCUCGAAUUAGGAAGUGUGUCUCCUGCGAAUGAGGUUGCAAGACUUAUACUAGGAAGUGCAUCUCCUAGGAUUUGAUGGUUUAGAUUAGGAAGUGUGUCUCCUAUUGGAAUGACUCAAACUAGGAAGUGUCUUCUAGGAUUGAUGGUUGAAAGGCUUAGACUAGGAAGUGCGUCUCCUAGGAUUGAUGGCUCGGAUUAGGAAGUGUGUUUCCUGUGAAUGAGGUUGCAAGACUUGUACUAGGAAGUGCAUCUCCUAGGAUUUGAUGGUUUAGAUUAGGAAGUACGUCUCCUAUUGGAAUGACUCAAACUAGAAAGUGCGUCUCCUAGGAUUGAUGGUACAAAGUAGGAAGUGCGUCUCAUAUUGGAAUGACUCAAACUAGGAAGUGUGUCUCCUACGAGUGAGGUUGAAAGUCUUGGACUAAGAAGUGCGUCAUCUCCUAGGAUUAAUGGUUUAGAGCAGGAAAUGCGUCUCUUAUUGGAAUGACGCAAACUAGGAAGUGCAUCUCCUAGGAUUGAUGGUAUAGAGUUGGAAGUGCAUCUCAUAUUGGAAUGACUCAAACUAGGAAGUGCAUCUCCUACGAGUGAGGUUGGAAGUCUUGAACUAGGGAGUGUAUCUCCUAGGAUUGAUGGUUCAGAUUACGAAGUGCGUCUCCCAAUAGAAUGACUUAAACUAGGACGUGCGUCUCCUACGAGUGAGGUUGAAGGGCUUGGACUAGGAAGUGCAUCUCCUAGGAUUGAUGGUUCAGAUUGGGAAGUAUGUCUCCCAUUGGAGUAACUCAAACUAGGAAGUGUGUCUCCAAUGAUUGAGGUGGAAAGGCUUGGACUAGGAAGUGUGUCUCCUAGGAUUGAUAGUUUUGAUUAGGAAGUGCGUCUCCUAUUGAAAUAACUCAAACUAGGAAGUGCGUCUCCUACGAGUGAGGUUAAAAGACUUGGACAGAAUGUAACCAGGGAUUGGCGCCCGUAUCACUGAGAAAGAAUAUAACCAGGGGUUGGCGCCCUGUAUCACUAAGAAAUAAUGUAACCAGGGGUUGGUACCCUGUAUCACUAAGAGGGAAUAUAAUCAAGGGUUGGCGCCCUGUAUCAGUAAGAAGGAAUGUAACCAGGGGAUGACGACUUGUAUCACUUAGAGAGAAAGUAACCAGGGCAUAUGAUACCUUGUAUGAAAAUGGAAUCUCACUAAAGAUUGUUGUACCUUAUGGUUUCAGCUAUGGAUUGGUGUAUCCUAUACUAAACAUGCAACUAGGGAGUGGUGUGCUCUAUGUCAAAAUGGAACCUCAACUAAGGACUGAUGUACCUUAUGCUGGAAAAUGCAGUGGUUGAUUAUGUGGUUAUAGGAAUAUCUAGAAAGAAAAAGCACAAACUUUGAAGAAUUUACCUUUGGUGACAUUCGUCCCUUGAGAACUUCAUUUCUACACUACUUUGUUUCCUGCUUCAAACAAAGAAAGAUUUUUGAGUUUUUAAAGUGGUAGUCGAUUUGUGUCGUUGAGGCCCUGAGUAGUUUGAAUUCGCGGCGACCUUGUGAAGAAGAACUGAUUCUUUCAGCGCCGUACUGAGUUGCUCGGAUAAUCUGUAUUGCUUUCUGGAUCAUGGCUUUCUAUCGUUGCCCACGACUGUUUCGUACCCGGAUGUCACACACCCUUUGGCAAUUGUUUUUGUCAAUUUUGAUUAUCUUGCACCCGGUAUCAGUUUAUGUCUGGGAUGCUAUCAAUUUUUCCCGUGAAGCAAGUCUUGCUUAACGACCUUUUCGAUUUCUUCAAAACACUUUGUUCGGCUUAUCAGAGGAAAUCACAGUUGGAUUUGUGCCUUUGUCAAUGUCGUGUAUGCCCCACAUCAUUUGUGUUGCACUUCUGGAAAAUGGUGACCAAUUUUGUGGCCCUUUCUUUGUUGGAUUUCUAAGCAAAUAGACCAACAAAGUUUUCUCUUUGGAACUUCUGUUUGCUUGAACCCUCAGAUCUUGCUUAACUUCAACAACUUAUUGCGCAUGUUGCUCCCUGGGUAUGUCCUCUUUGAUGUGCUAGGAUAGACAGUUAGAAAGCCAGUAAUAGAUUUUGAAAUCAUUUCUUGUUUGUUUUAACAAAGAUUGACUCAAAAUAAUAGUGCAAAUGGACACAAUGAUGCAAUGUAAACAUGAGAAGGAAUAGUAUUUAACUGAAAACGCCGCUUUAGGGGAAAAAAAAGAAUGGAACGUUUUGAAUGUGGUAGCCAACAUUAAUGAUCAUGACAUGCAUUUUGGACUGAGCAGCCAAAUAUAUCCAGCUAAUCCAUCCUUUCUUCUUGUUGUCCCUUUUCAUCUUUGAAGUUAGCCUCUUUGUGCCAAACAAUUGCAUUAAAUCACAGCUCACCUUCGACCAGCAGUGCCCUGAAAGGUUUUCACCAGCCACUCUCUCUCAUUUAUUUAUCUCUACUUACCAUCGCCUUACAGUGCCCAUGAUGGUUUUCACCAAUAAGACUCUCUCAUUUUCAUUCAUUAUCGCUUUUUUUCCUUUUGUGCGAGCAACUUGACACUGUUCUAUGUCGUGUGAAAAUUGUUGCUUAUUGCGUUUUUCCCUUGGCAUUCUUAAAGUCUAUUUGGGAGGUCUUUAUUCAGAAGACUUUUAGAUAGGGUUAGAAAGAAAGGGUCUCAUUAAGGCUCAAAAUAGACUCAAGAAGAUAGGGUUAUAUAUUUACAACUCUUGGAAUCGACUCUUCAUAAAAAUAUAAAAAAAAAAUGCCCCAGUUUUGGAUACUAGGGAAUUUUUAUUUUUUUUUAAUUUGGUUAGACUGAACUAUAGUGUAGAGUUGCCUACGUAUCCUUUAAAGGAAUCAAGUCAAACAUAGUUCAAACUAACACGAAAGAUUUCGUUGUUGUUUUUCUUUUCUUUUCUUUUUUUCAUCAUUCUUUUCUCUUUUCCUUUUUUUAUAUAUAUAAUCAAAAUAUCCUAGCUCCUAUUUUCUAGUGGCAUGGAUCUUCGAUUCUUUGUUUCUUUUAUUUGUAUACUUGAUUCCAAAAGAAGGGGGGAGGUCGAAUAAAAAUAAUACUCGCUUAAAAGGGGUACGAAGGGUAUAAAGUGUUUGGGUAGCAGAAAAAAUAGCCUCCCAACUCAAGAAUGCCAAGCAUACUAUCUCUUCUCAAGGUCGGUAUUGAUGGACAUGACUGUCUUCUUGGUUUUGCCUUGAUGUGAAAUGAUGCACUUCAGUACCAACUAAUCCAUUUUAAAUUCCUUGUAAUGCACCUUCUUUGGAGAUUCGGGUCAUCUUCCUUGAUAUGAUUAGAUUAUGGCAGGACGUGGCCAAAACCCUUUCACUGAUUAGUCCAACCAAACUUCAAAACUUUAAUUAUCCUUAAGCCAAUAUUCAUGAUAGGUUUGGGAUAAACAACUUUAACCUCUACGAAUAUGACUGUUUCGGUUCCAUGUGAUCUUGACACAGGAUUAUCAUCAAAGGUUUUCAACCUCUUACUUGUCCUCCACGUGUUUUUCCUCAAUUCAAUUCAAGAUUGGACAAGCUUUCUAAAAUCUAGCUGAAAACUCCGCAUGCAUGUCGUGUCACUAAAAUUAGCGUGAAAAGAAAUAUAUAUAUGCAAGAAGAACUAAACACAAUGGAUUAAAAUGACACAAAGAAGAGAGAAAAAAAGUUGCAUCUCAUUGAUUAAAGGAUAGAGAGGUUUGAUGACAGGACAAACAAACAACAUCUGGAUCACAACCUCAAAACAAUCUGGAUGAUAGAAAUUAUGACAAAAUAAGUUACCAAGACUCCUUCCCGGCAAGGAAGGGAGUGACUUUCCAAUUAUCAAGCUCAACAUCUUAGCUACAAAUCUGCACAUCAGCAUCAAACAAGAUCUUCAACAAUUUUGAUCGUCUUGCAUUCAGUGGACAGGUUCUUGACAUUUUUCACAAACCAUCCCCAUAUUCUUUAUCAUUGUAAAUCACCCGAAUAAUGCGUGCUCGGUCAUGACGUUUAGGGUGCCAUUAUCUUGGACCACGAUCAUUCCUUCUUGAAUCAUCAUUUCUAUUUCCUUUUUCAAAGGCGGACAAUCCUCAAUGUUGUGUCCCUGGACAUUAGAAUGGUACAUGCACCAUACAGCAGGGUCAAAGACUUUUGCAUAUGGAUCAGGAACAUACCCUUGAAGCGGCUCAAUCAUGCCACAACGUUUUAGCCUUUCAAACAAACUUGUGCAGGAUUCUACGAUUGGCGUGAAAUUGUCCCUCUACUUAUGUUCCUUUUCGUACUCUUGUUUUGGACGAGGGUUGUAGGGUGAUUGAGAGUUCUGUUAUUGCGGACGAAGGUAUGUCAAAGUUGGGACCCGCAUCUGCUGGUGAUUGGAUGGUUUGGCAUAAGACUGAGCAUUGAAUGUUGCAUAUUAUGGAGCAACUGAGUAUCAUGGAUCCGGGGGCUGAGAUGCUCCCCUUUGGCCUCUUUUUGCCCGUGACGCUAUCAUGGCCUCUUUAUCUUUCUUCUUUUGGUUAACAAGGUUGCCCGGCCUAUUAUGGAUUUCUUGAGUGGCUGCUUUGAGAGCCGCUUGACUUAUAAUUCGGCUAGAAUUGAGGCCAUUCUCAACCAUUUCUCCUAUCUUGAUUACAUCAGCAAAAGGUCUGCCCAUUGUAGACAUCAUAUUUUGAAAAUAAUCAGGAUCCUGAGCCUGAAGGAAGAUAGUGAUUAACUCAUGAUCAUCCAUGGGUGGCUUAAGUAGACAUCCUCUAGAUGCUUGCUCUCUCCACCUAACGGCAUACUCCCUGAAGCUUUCACUUGAAUUUUUCUUCAUAUUGGACAGGGAAUUGCGAUCUGGCACAAUAUAAAUGUUGUAUUGAAAUUGUUUGACGAAGGCUUGGGCCAUGUCAUCCCAAACAUGCCAGUGAGAGAUAUCUUGGUCAAUGAACAAUUAAGAGGCUACCCCUACCAGACUCUCCCCAAAAUAAGCCAUCAACAACUCUUCAUUUCUUCCUGCAGCCCUCAGCUGGUUGCGUACCUUUCAAGUGGGCGAUAGGGUCACCGUGUCCAUCAUAUUUCUCAAAUUUUGGGGUCUUGAACCUUGGUGGAAAAUGGAUGUGAGGAAACGUGCAUAGAUCACUGAAUGAAACACUUUUGUGACCACCUAAUCCUAUAUGUUCUUUAUGUUCUGCUCAAGACUUUUCACUUUUCUGGCCAACUCAUCUGGCUCACUCAUCUUGGUAGCUUUUUCUAUUUCUACAGGUGACUCAUGCUGAGAAGUUUGAUUGUAUGGAGCCAAGACCCUGAAAGUCAUGUUUCGAGAGUAGUAUUGUCCAUCAUAAGCAUGAGAUGGUGGCUCAUUAUUUGGCCUCUUCACAUGAGGUUGUGGCAGAAUUGUAUACACAGGCGCACCAGACAUGACGAGAGGUGUGUUCCUAAAUGGUGCGGCAUGAGACUGCACAUUAAGGGUACCAGGGCCGACAUGGAAGCUGUAGUUUGGCACAUACCCUGGUGGUAGAAUGUGAUUGCUCGUUGCAAUGAGCGGUGGUUGAGUAGCUUGUGGUAUGGUGGAAGUUCCCUCAGAUGUACCCUGAGGCAGAGGCUGACUAGAGAUCCAAGCCUGAUACACAUCAGUCAGUUGGUGUUUCAAUCUUCUUACUUCCUCCAACUCUUGCUCAACCGAUUGACCCUGGGGGUCGUCACUGACCAACUCGAUUUCAUCAUUGUUAGCCAUCGCUACCUUACCCUUAGAUUUGGUAAGGUAAUGAUCUGCUUCCAGUUUUACCAUAAACCGACCAUCUUAAGCUUACUAUAUAAGAGGUAACAAACAUGUUAAGGCAAAGCAUUUUACAAAUACGAAUCACAUGUAAAUAUGAUAUGCUCCUAACAUUAUCACCGUUUCUAACAUGCUUUUGGAAGGCUUCGUGUUUUAUUCCGGCAUAUAAGGUCGCUGCUUAUUGACGCUCUUAUUUAUUCCUCUCUUUUUGCCUUUUUUUACACCUCGCCUUAUUUUAGAGCUAUUGAAAAAUAUUUCGAUCGAAACUUUUAGGGGUUGCCUACGUAUCAUGUCGUGGCAUGAAUCAGAUCAUUACAUAGUUCAAAUACAUAACCUUUUUUUUUAAAAUUAACAAAACAAAGUUUUCCUCUUUUUUAUGUACAAAAAACAACACCUUUUUUGGUUCAUUUUCAAAUUUUUCUAAAACAAAAUCUUUUUCAUUGAUUUUCGAUUUUUUUAUACAAGACAAAGGAAAAUUACAUAAAGAUACAACCCAAAAGACGAAUAUUUAAACAAGAUCGGACUCAACUCAAACAAGAUGAAUAUUUAAGCAAGACUCAAAAAACUAAAAGACUCUUACAAACUCGAUGAUUACAAAUGAACAAUCAAAGUGGACUGCCAACUAAAAAAAGACUCUAAUCUCCGAAGGAGAAUCCACCGGCAACAUUGUAGUUAAGGUGCUUAUUCCUGCGGGUGACCUCCCAUAUCAUUGUAUAUGCGCCUUAAGUCUGUGGCAAUGUGGCAUGCAAAGUUGGGCGCUACCAUAGCAAAUUGCUCUCGGGUCAAACCCUGACAAGUCACACACCCUCGAGCGAUAUAAGUAGCCACCUCAUAGACCCUCCUUCUAACAUGCUCCUGGCUCUGACUUAAAAAUUGGAUCUGUCGCCCAUGGUUAUUGGCUAUGUCUGAUAUAUCUGCCCUACGUUGUGACACCAGAUUCAGCUGGUUCUGGACCCUUGCUAGCUCAUUCUCUAGCUGGUUCUUACUUGAUUCUGCAGCCCUGGCCCGAGCCCUUAGAUCAUGGAUGAUAAGGUUGUAAUUCAUUUCUUUGUACUUUGGAAUGGCCGCUUGUUGCUGAGUAGCGGCUUCUAUUCUCGCUUGUCGAAGCUGUGCUUGAAGUGCUUGAACCUCAUGUAUUAAUCUGGUUUUCUCCUCUUUAAACUCAGUAUACUACAAAUCCCUAUUCACGUUGACGAUAUUGUAUCCCUACAUAAUUCGCGGAUGAUGGAUUCAUAGUCUCUUGUUAUUUCCUCCUUGGUCUGCCCCUACUCUUGUUCUGAUUUCAUUCGCGCAUUCUGUCGUGCUCUUCAGAAUUAUCUCUUGCCUAGAUCCAAAAGCAUCUUGGUCAUAGAACCACUCAAAAUAUGCGGGGUCUAACUCUCCUUGAUCUUGAUCUUCUAUCAUAGUGUAAAAUUCUAGCACCUUAAUUUCAUCUCAAACCUACUUAGCAUACGCCUCACGAAUAGGAUCCUCUGAUGUUACCUCCCAUAUGAAUCUUUGCAUGUGCUCCACUAUGGGCACGACUUGUUUUCGACCUAAUUGGCGUAAGGCUCUCAUAGGCACAUAUGGCUGAAAACCCAAAAGACCUAUCAAAAUAAAAAACAAAUGGUGGUAAGACCUGUAUAUGACCUCUUUUGGUGAGAAUAAGUGGUAUUUCCAUGUGAUUCCAGUAGCAGUCAACCUUUGAAGAUACCCUCUCCAUGCUUCGGCGCACUUGGGGAAGCUACUAUCUUCGAUAAAAACUUUAGACCUAUCUUCAAGCUCAUUAUUGCACCAAUGGACGCUAAUAUUUACCCGUACGGGGUGUAGGAAGGUGCUCUAAAGACCAUAUCUGGAGUAUGAUGUUACAACCCUCAGAGAAAUCUUUCCCUUCCUGACAUUUGGUUAGGGCACAGUAAAUAUCUGACAAUACCAUAGGAAUGAUAGUGACAUCCUUUCCACGCAAUAAAGCGGUAACUAUGCCAGAUAAUCGAAUAUCAAUAUUUUUGUCAUGCCUCGGGAAAACCAUUAUCCCUAGAAAUGCUAUUAGGAAUGCUCUCCGCCCAUGUCUUUGCCAAGCUUUGUAUCCAAAUUUAUUAUCAAGCUUUUUCCCGUUCUUUGAAAAUCUAUCCGGACACCCAUACCUGUCGUACAUGAAAUCUAAUCGAACGUACCCUCUUUCUACACUUGCUAUUUUAUUUUGGCUAAUUGUCAUCUGCUCAAGGUACUUACUUCCAGUGACAUCCCUCUGGGCCAAGGGUCUCUUCUUCCGAAGCUCAUCGCCUAACUUUGUAUAUCCAGCUAACUCCUCCAAAGUGGGAGUCAUUUCGAACCCAUUAAAAUGGAAUAUGUUGUUAUUAGGAUCCCAGAAAUGUACCAACACCUCGAUUAAGUCCCUCCUUGUGUUGAUCUCCAUGAUAUUCACAAAGUUACCCAGAUGGUCCUUUAUUUUUUUCCUGCUCACAAACACCCAUAUUUUUCCACUAUUGCCUCAGCAACCAGGGUGUUUUAUACAUAAGCCAAAUCUGCAAGGGCUCAUCAUCUUUUGGAUUUUUAUCGAGUAUUCCACUUACUGAAUUCAUAUCUUACCUAGAUAAAUAAAAAUGUGAGGUCAAGUCCUAAUAUAAACUCGAAGAAAUGACACCAAGCAGACUUUUGGAUAAGACAAUGAACGAACUUCUUAGUGGAGAAUUCCUCGUAUUGAAGGAUCAGUCAACUAAGACCCAACUGAUCAGACUUGAUUGAUAUGCCAGAAUUGGACGAAAAGGGCCAGACUCAAGGAUGACUAACCACGUAUCUCACGGGGAAACAAGACAUGAUAAAACGAGCCGACCGAGGACAAAAUGAUAAAAGGUGACAAAAGGGACAAGAUGGUUAUUCUUAUGAAAACGGUUCUUCAGUACUUCGAAGGGAAGUACUAUGGUUGUCUCGGUAAAAACAUCUGUACACAUGGAUAAGCGGGUAAAAGCAAACAAAAGUUAUUCUUUUACGAAAACAGCCAUUUGGUACUUCCAAAAAAAGUUUUAAGGUUGACUCGGCAAAGAUGGUCGGAAAUAAGGGCAACACGGCAAAAAUGUGAAAAUAAAUAAACAAAAUAAAUAUUUUGCAAAAAUAUCUCCUCGAUGCUUCCAAGGAAGGUUGUCGUGGCAAAUUAGCCGAAAUACGAGGGCAAAACAGUAAAAGAUGACCAAAAAUAGCAAUUGUUUUUGAAAAUUUUAUGCACAUGCGUAAUUUUUAUGCUUUUUUUUUUUUGAAAAAUGUGGGCUAAAUACGUAGAGGUUGCCUACGUAUCUCAUAUCCGGUGAGAAUCAAACCCGCGUAGUUCCGUCAAACUGAGUAUUUUUCUCUUUUGAUUUUUAUGAAAAUUAAUCUUUACACCUCACGCCAGACUACUACAAAAUCUUAGUAAAAAAAAUUAUUUGUACUAAACUAGGACAAUGAUUCUUUUUAUUUUUUAAUUAUUCCACUCGACUAAUUUUCUAAAGUCAUUCAGCAAUGCAAGUAAGCCUUCCAAAUGAUGUAACAAGUUGCACAUAAGUGCACAUGAUGGUCUCAAAGAGGACCUGUCUUAUACGAACCCGGCCCCUGUGCCGAGCUUCGCUAAGUCAAAUGCAUGUGAUGCAAAUAAUGCGAACCUACUAGGGCUAUUCGGCAUGAUGUUUGUGUAUCUAGGUUUAAAUCUUAUUGGAGAAGGUAUCUAGUCUGGCUUACUCGAGCGGACAACUCGAGCCGAGGAGGGUUAGCGUACCGGUAGCAGUGUUUCCGGCUUAGCUGGUGGUGCUCCCUGCCUAAAACAUGUGUGACUAAAAUCCUUCACCGGGUGACAAGCAUCUCUGCUAUCUCAAAGAAAGCGGGAUAUAUCAAGCAAAUACCCAAUUUUUAAUUUCAAGAAGACUUAGAGGGGGCGCGUGAGAAGACAAUUUAUAUGUACAAUUCAACAAUAUCAAAGUGGUAAAAAGCGAACACGUAGCACAUUAGGCACAAACAAAUCACAAUAUAUACAAGAAUUAAUAAAGCCAAAUAAAAAGUCAACAUGUACAAGCUCGAAUUCUGGUUGUCCCCAGCAGAGUCGCCAGAGCUGUCACACCCCUUUUCUACCCCUCAAAAGAAUAUGUGUUUGUUAUGAAUUAUUGUGGGUUAAAGAGUUUUUCCAAUUAAAGUGACAAUUUUGAAAUAGGGAUUAUUUAUUGUUCAGAGUCGCCACUUGGAAUUGAUUUUUGGGUAUUCCAAGUCACCUUUUAUUUGGAUCCCUAUUCAAAGGAAGAUUUGACUCUUUUAUUAUUGGUCUGCAAAAACACAGUCCGGGUAAGGAAUUCUGUUGACCGGAGAGAAGGUGUAAGGCAUUUCCCGAGUCCCGUGGUACUAGCACGGUCGCUUUUAUUGAUUAAAAUUGGCUUGAAUUAAUUGCUGGAUAAACUAUGCUUUAUUUGACUUUUCAUGUCUGCCUAUAUCCGCUUUUAUUUCUUGAUUAAUAGAAUUAUUUUAAAAAAAUUGGAUAAAUUACGUUGUCAUAACCACGCUACGCAAGCGAAUGCGUGAUCGAACAACACAAUUAAUUAACUUAUCAUAAUUGUGUCUCGCAAGAGAAUCCGAAAUCAUGACAGUCAAUUAUUUGUAGUACUUUUGACAAAUUACUACAUUUGAGAAAAUUAAUUCUUGAAAUUAUUAAAAGUCAACUACCGCGCUACGCAAGCGAAUUCGGGAUAUUAGCAAAAGAUUAUUUAAAUUAAAAAUUAACUAAAAACUAAUGUGUUUGAGAUUAUUGAAUUAAUUUAUUGAAUAUUGAACAUCACGUUACGCAAUCGAUUCCGUGAAUAAAAAGAUUAAAGCAUGCCUACUAAUUGCCUAGUUCUUAAACUAAUUAAAUUAUUAAGUUAAUUAGUAAAAAAAGACUAAUUUCUUUUUUGGAUUAUAUAUUAUAUAUGAAAAAAAUAUGGAAAAUUAGUGAUGGGCCAGCUCACUUAUAUUGAAAAUGUUGGCCAUUUUUGGCUGUCAUGAGUAUUAAGCCCAAUUUAUGUAGCCACUUGGGCUGCUGGCCCCUUUUGAAAUUAAGUGACCAUUGGGCCAAUUGUUGGUUAUUGUAGAGAAUGGACUAACUUAUGCCAAAUUGUUUUCUAUCUCUCACGGCCCAAUCUUCCUUUGUUAAGCUUAAAUGGAACCAACUGAAUAUAUCUCCAUACUUAAACUUAACAUUUAUCGUGCUAAUUAAAUAAAAUGACCUAAACAUACAACUAUGAUAUUAACUUAAAGUGAAGAUGUCAACCUGGGCAUAAAAUUAUUCAAGCUUCAAAAUCAGAAUAUAGAAGACCAAAACUCCUACAUCAAUUAUUUAGCUAAUCAAGCAAGACAAGGAGUUAAACUACUCAUCAUUUUAGAGUUGAAAGGCUAAAACAGAGAAAUGUAUUCAAUAAGGACAUGACUUGAAUCUUACCGAGCCAUUAAACUAAUUAAGAUAGUAAACUAAUUUUUAUUAAUCCAUUUGGAUGAAGAUGUAAACGAGAAAACUAAAUAUAGUAUUCCAUUUGAGCCUACCACAAGAAUAAAUUUGGAAAAAACAUCAAGAUAGUAUAAAAUGGACCUUAAACAAAAUCUAUUUUUUAAUGUGUAAGGAACUGGAACCUUCAACAUCUAUUUUUAUGCUUGACAUUUAAACACAAGACUAACGAGAGCAGAAAGUUUUUAAGGUAUAAGGAAGUAAAUAAAACUCAAAUAACUUUAACUCAAAUCAUCUAAUCUUCAUUCAUUAUCGUGUCAAGAAUUACAUCAUUGGUUGAGGGAGUUACAUGGAUAGCAGAUAAAUGAACAAACACAGCGAAGUCAGUUUUUCCCAAAGUCAAGAAGUGGACAGCAGAACAACCCCAGGCAGCAAAGAACAGCAGUAACAGAACUCAAGAAGACCCCAGAGAAUCCCAACACGAAAGCACUUGAACUAGAAACUAGUAACCUGUCCCUUUUACCAACUAUGAACAGAAUUUUGGAGUAUUGUACUUUAACAGUUUUUGAACAGUAAAAGGCAGCCAAACAAGCACCAUAAACUCAAGUAUUCAGCUUUUAUCAUAACUGAAAUUCAAGCUAACACACUCAUACCUUCAAACUAACCAAAUUAUGGAUUGAUACAGCAGAAACAAGACUUAAAAGAUAACCGAACUAAGUAUUCAACAAACUAGAUAGAAAUUAAUUUGAUUUGUACAAACUAACAUGAAGCGAUUGAGAUAAAAAACUAACAUGCAAAACAGAAACUAAACGAGGAUGGCUAAACUAUCACACAUGAUUAAUAACAACUUAACAAACGACUAACUAAAUAAAUGAUUCAACUAAUCUUUUGAUUUUUCAUAAAAGUAGCAUAAAACACUUAACUACCGACCGACUAGGUCGGAAAACUGAAAAUCCAAACUUAACAAAUUCACACAAAAUAGUCGACCGGCUAGGUCGAAGAGCCAAAAAUCAGAACUAACAGACAGUAACGAACUACUUGACCGGCUAGGUCGAAGAACUGAAAUUCACAUUUAUAAAGUAACAUGUAAUUGAAAACUAAUACUACCCUAACUCAAUUGCACACAAAUAAAAAUAACAAGAAUAGAAAUUAGACCUUAACACUAAUACUAAUUACAAAAGCAAAAAGAAAAAAUCAGAAAAGAUGAAAAGGAAGUAAGGUUUAUACCAAUCGAGGGCAUAUGAAAUUGUCCAUAAAUUUCGGGGAUGACACGAGCAGUGACAAAUGAUGACGAGCGACCUUUGAACAAACUUUUCUAAGCGGAAGACAUUAGGGUCACCGAUUCAUGGGAGCCGACUAAUGAUUUCAACACCAUAUCGCCUAGAAAGGGUCGUUACCAGGUCAUGUCUAGGAAAAACAUAGCGACUUAGGCACUUGGUGGUGGUGAGACGGCAGUGGGGGCUGCUGGACAGAAUUCAACCGAAUUUCGGCCGGAUUUUGGAGGGGUUUGAAGGUUUUGAGGCAUGAAAUGGAGAAGAGGAGAGCGAGAGGAGGCCGGCGGUGUGAAAUUUUUGGAGUUUGGGGUGGUGAGCGGCUGCUAGGGUUUCGGUUAGGCUUAGAUUUAUGGAGAUUGAGAGGGGUUAUGGGGAUUUGUGGUUCGGAUUCAUGAAGAGGAGGAGGAGGAGAGGAAGAGAUUGGCGUUGGUUGGAGGGUGUUUGGCCACCGGAGGACGGCGGCGCUGCCGUCGGGGACGGGCAGCGGCGGCGGAGGAAGAAGAAGAGAGGAGAAGGGGUCUAGGGCUUGGGCAUGUAUGGAAAUGAGGCCAAAAAAUCAGAUUUCUAAAAUUAUAUACCUCAAAUGACAUCAAUUCUGGACCAUUGGAUCAAAGAAAAUAGGUGGCCAGGAUUUCAUCUUGAUCACUUAACCAAAACGACGUAGUUUCAAUCUAAAACUACGUCAUUUAGACCAUCUCCUAGGAGCCCCAACUGGACCGGAUCAGUAGACUCUUUGGGCUCCUAAUUUUGGGCCAGUUUUGGUUCAAUUUUAAUUAAAAUACACUAGUCCAAUCCUUUAACCCCUAAUUAUACUAGGAUAUUAUUUAAUCCUAAAGAAAAUGUACAAAUAGAAAGAAUUUUUUUUUGGGUAUAUAUAAUUUAAAGAUGCAAAACUAAAAUAUGCAAAUAAAAGGUAAAAAAUUAUUUUUGGUAUUUUUAAUAAAGGAAUGCAAAUAAAAAUUCACAACCAACUAAAAUCAUCCAAAUACUAGUAUUUGUAGGAGAAUUAAAAGCAAGCAAAAAUUAGGUAUUCACACCACAGACUCUAGCAAAAACUCACAUUUGGAGAACAUAACAUAUAGCUUCUGUUCUCGCAAUGUCUGAAGCACCACUCUCAAAUGCUGCUCGUGCUCCCCUAGGCUACGUGAGUAAAUCAAGAUGUCAUCAAUGAAAACAAUAACAAAGGAAUCAAUAUAAGGCCUGAACACCCGGUUCAUCAAAUCCAUAAAUGCCGCUGGGGCAUUAGUCAAGCUGAAGGACAUCACUAGAAACUUAUAAUAGCCAUAUCUAGUACGGAAGGCAGUCUUCGGGACAUCUGAGUCCCGAAUCUUCAGCUGAUGGUACCCCGAUCUCCAGUCGAUCUUAGAAAACACCCGCACCCUGCAACUAGUCGAACAGAUCAUCAACGCACGUUAAUGGGUGCACCCCAAGGUGAUACACUCGGUCUCACAAAUCCCUUUGCUAACAACUCCUCACGCUGCUCCUUCAACUCUUUCAACUCUUUCAGAGCCAUACGGUACAAUGGGAUAAAUAUAGGCUGUGUACCUGGAGCCAAAUCAAUACAGAAAUCAAUAUCACAAUCCUGUGGCAUGCCUAGAAGGUCAGAAGGGAACAUAUCGGCAAAUUCCCGAACUACUCGCACUGAAUCAAUCGUCGAAGACUCUACGGUGGUGUCCCGAACAUAAGCUAGAUAAGCCAAAAAACCUUUAUCGACCAUAUGUCGAGCCUUCAGAAAAGAGAUAACCAGACUAGAUGUACUAACGGAGGAACCCUUCUAUUCCAAUCUCGGCAACUUUGGCAUCGCUAAAGUAACAGUCUUGGUAUGACAAUCAAGGAUGGCGUGAUAGGUUAGAGGAUUUAUGCAGCUGGAUAGAUGUGAGAUGGCAUCCUUCCGGAUUCGACAACUGCAAUUAUGAACCUCCAUGAGAAAAGAAUUGCAAUUAGCUCGUGUGAAAAGCUUCCUUGGUUUUACUUUGCGAUUAGAAAGAAAUAACAGAUUAGAGAUUGGAGUACUAAUCUCUCACAAAUCACUGGAGGGUAAUGUAACAUGCCCCCCCACCCCCACCACUUUUGUUGCCUUUACACAAUCAAUAAAACAGUAGCCCUGUUCAUUACAAAAAAACAGUGGCUGAUUUUUGUGGCUGAACAUGUGAGUCGAAAUUAAGUAAAAUGUUCAAUGCAUCCACCUUCGUCGAUGUAGCACCCGCAAUUAGAGACGGACCCAGAAUUUGAAAAUAACGGGGGCACCAUCAAAAAAAUUGUAGCAGGCGGGUUUCGAACCCGUAUCGUGUGACAAAGAGCAAGGCUUAUUCUUAGAAGAAUAAGAAUUACUGCAAGCGUAAUUUUGUUAAUGAGGGUGCCAAAAAAAAUAUUUAAGGGGUCCCCAACGUAUAUACAACUAUGUAUAUAUAGAGUUUUUGUCGAAGUUAACGGGUUCACGUGACCCCUCAAGCAUGGCUGUAGGUCCGCCUAUGCCGGCAACAACAUCAAUAGAAAUUCAACAGUGAUAAAUUUAUAUGGUACAUCAACAUACAAAUUAAAAAUAAUUUUCGUACAAAUUUUUAUGCAAAUUUGAAUAUCUAUAGCAACAUACAUAGUAAAAAUAAAUUUCAUACAACUAAUUAUAUAUUAUAAAACUUAUUUACAACUUUCAUAAAUUAUUUCUACAGAAUUAAAUACAACUACAAUAUCAUACAACUUAAAUACAAAUUUUAUACAAAUUUUAUACAAUAUGUCUUUGUAUAUAUUUUGUAUCUGAUUUGUAUAUAGUUUGUCUGUGGUGUGUGCUUCUUCCUCUCUAAAAUUCCAAUCAAAACUUACUCUCGUAAUAAAAUUUUGAUACAUAUCAACAACUUUAUAUAAAAAAAUAGUAUUAAUAACUUAAAUAUAAAUUUUAUACAAUGAUUCAUAUAUUAUUCAAUUAUUUUUCAACUUUCAUACAACAUUCAAAUAAAAAAAAAUAUAUAACUAUAACAGAAUAUAAUUUACAUAUAAUUAUAAUACAACUUUACUACAAUUUGUAAGUACAUUAUAUGUCAUGUUUUCUUCUUCUUCUUCUUCUUUGAGUUUCAAUCUAAAAUUCAACCACAAUCAAGUCUAAUCUUCACCAAAACAUGCUCAAAAUUGAGAUAUAAACUCCAAAUAAUAUUCUCAAUUGUUUGCAACAACAUCCAAUCCAAACAAAUAAUAGUUUUUGAAAACCCAAAUUUGAUUUCAAAGUUUCAAAGCUUUUUAAUGUCUGUCAAUGAUGGAGAGUCAAACACCUUUCAAAAUUUAUUGAUUGACAAUUUCAAUUUGAAUGCCAAUUGUGCAACAUGAAAGGAAAUUGCUAAGUUAAAAUGAUUAAAAUCCAUUGAUGAAUUCCAUUAAAACUCUAUACAAUAAGAAAGCAUAAAAAAAAACAGAGAACAUCAAAUGAAGAAAAAUUGGGGAAAAACAGAGAAGAGAGUAGAGAGACAGAGACGGGGAGAGAGAGAGAGAGAGAGAGAGAGAGACGGAGAGAGAGAGAGUGGCAAGNNNNNNNNNNNNNNNNNNNNNNNNNGGAGGAGAGAGAGAGAGAGAGAGAGAGAGAGACGGAGAGAGAGAGAGUGGGCAAGUAUAAAGGGAUAAGGAAAUAACUAAUAUUCCUUAUUCAAUUCCUAAUAUAAAGGGAUAUUCCUUUAAAACUUAUUUGUAUAUAAUAGGUAAACUAUAUAUGAUCGUGUAAUUAAAUUGAAACUUGAAUAGAGAAAGUAAUAUGAUUUCAAAUAGUGUAUAGGAGGGUAAAAAUCCUUUCUAAAGUUUGGAACUUCACAUCCGAAAUUUUCAACUUCAGUCUCAUGAGUUUGAAAUUUAUUCUGAAGCUGCUUCACAUAAAUAUAUUUUACUUUUCGACACACAAGAAAACAUAAUGGGAGACAAAUAAUACUUGAGAAUUUAACAUAUAGGAGACAGUAUAAAGAAUUUAACUUAUGGGAGACAGACAAUACUUGAGAAUUGAGUUUAUUAAAAGAAAGACUAGUUAAAACUUAAUUAGCCACCGAUGUUAAUGGAGAAUUAAGAUUAAAAUAAGAGGGGAAAAAAUCUUUGCAUCAUACAGUGUAGAGCUUAUCAUUUCAUUUGGAUUAUUGUAUUUAAAAAAGCUCUUGUUGAGGUGUACUUGACCUAGGAAAAAGAACACAAUCUUUUAUCGUUUUGGAAAUCACGUUUCUUAGUUGAUUAUGAAGUUAAUAAGUACUUACAAGCAAUUAAUAAUCAGUGAACAACGAGUACCAAAUUCUCCGUUAAUUGACUGUUGCUUGUGUCAACAAAUAAAACACAACGUAGUUCCUCCAAAAGAAAAGUAAGAGAAUUUUUUUUUAGUAAAAGUAGAGAAUUUUGUUUAACUGCUAGUAUCUAUUAUUGGUAAGGCUAGUGUUGAAAUAGAAAAAUAUUGAGGAAAAAAGAACUAAAACCCCAGCUUAUAUCGGAUGAUCUUCGAACACGGGAAACAAAGAUUUAAAAUUUAUGGGUUUGGAAUUCUAAUAUUAUCAAGUUAUUGAAUUCUAAAUUAAUAAUUUAUGCAUAUUCAAUAAAAAAAAUUAAAAUAUCUUGAACAUAAGCUCAGCCGAACCUGUAACCGACACUCUAACUUUGCCCUACCUGUAUGGGUCAAAAUUUGAUUGAGGAAAUUCAGCACGAAGAGGCGAUUAUCACGAGUUAUUCGUGAUUAUCAUGAGCAAUUUGGCCGAGGCCGACUAGUGAUUAAUGGAACGUGUCGCUAGGCAGUCAGUCACGGCCGAGGUCGAGUAUUACGAGCAAUAGUAGCAGCGGCUAGUUUUGUAUUUGGAUCCUCAGAGAGAAUAUUCCAUUGAAUAUUCUCUGUAUUUGUACUUUUAGGAUCCUUUGGGGGAUGUCCCAUAUAAAAGGAAUGAAAGAUAAGGCAAAUGACAUAUAAUAUUCUAGGUGGUAAGAACUCUUUUAAAAAGCAAGCUUUCUAGAUAAAUACAAAGAACACCUUUUUAAAGAGAUUCGUUUUUUUGGAUUAUUCCUUGUCAUUUCCACCAGAUCCGAGAAAGUCUUCAAUAUUCUUAUAGUUUCUUGUCACUCAUCAUUGUCAGAGAGAGAAAUUAUCCACCUUAAUCAAUAUUGGGUGAAUCUUCCUCUUUAUUUACAUGUGGUGCCAUUUAUUGCCAUUUAAUAUUUGAUACUUCUAACACAUUAUUGCAUUCGAAGCAUUUAAUGUAUAGUGCAUUAAAUCUGCCUCAUCCCUGUCUACAUCUCCUACAUUGCUUAUCUUAGAUUUGAAGUUAUUAUAUUUAACUAAGAUUAACCUUUUAAAUAAUCGAUUAAUUAGUUUAGCCAAAGAUUAUUAUUUUUUGGUCAAAUAAUUUGGCGCCAUCUGUGGGGAUUUCCUAAUCAAACUUUUAGUUUCUCUCAGAUCUAAAAAAAAGCGAGAAACGCAAAACCUUAUUUUUUUGUAUGCACGGAUCUGGCAUGACAGGUAACGGAGAAGAAAGAAUGAAGGCAAUAGUCGGUCUCACCACCAACCUCUUAAACACCAUCAACAAAAUCACUGAAACAGAUGCUGAGAACGUAACGCCAAACGCCUCCCCCAGGCGGAGUGAUUCACCCCAUCCUCGUGGCAGCAUCACAACCUCACAUGGUAAAUGAGCCUCUACGUUCGCAACGAAAGAGGCACCACCAGCGGUAAAAAAGCUGCUUGAAGCUUGGUUGACAAACACGCUGACCAGCAUCCUUGACAAACCCGCCCAAAGGGAGAACAGAGAGAACACAAGGGAUUGCAUUGCACCGACAGACGAGCAGCACGACCCUCCUCCCAUAACAGGUGUCACUCAUAACGUUAAUAAUGCAGGUGACGACACCCUCACAGCUAUUUUGAGGAAGUUGGAGGAGAUGGAAAACGAAAAUAAAAUGCUUCGAGACCAAAUGAAAGAGCACUAAGAGGUAGACAAAAUACCAGGCGCCCCAAAACUCUUACCAAAAAGGUACGUCGGUCGGUUUGUUGAGUAGCCGUACAGUGAUGAAGUCGCGCCGUAUGCCAUUCCUAAAACCUUCAAAAUGUCGUCAUACCAGAAAAUAUAUGAUGGCAUGACAGACCCCAAAGAUCAUGUGACUCACUACGUCACCACAGUAAAAGGCAACGACCUCACCAAAUAGCAAGUAUCUUCCAUAUUAUUGAAAAAGUUUGGUGAAACCCUCACCGGGGGAGCACUAACUUGGUAUUCAUAGCUGCCUGGCUGCUCCACUGAGACAUUCGAGGAAAUGGCCGAUAAAUUUGUAACUGCCCAUGCCGAAGCUAAGAAAGUAGAGGCGGAGUGAAUGACAUAUUUUCCAUUAGACAGUCACCCGGUGAAGGGAUGAGAGACUUCUUUGCUAGGUUCAACCGUGUGAGAAUGACCUUGCCAAAUAUAUCAAUGGGAAUGGCAGUAGCAGCUUUCCAGAAUGGGUUAAACAGGAGCGGUUCGAGGGCGACCAAAAAGUUGUUAAGCCGGCUCAUGAAGUAUCUGCCGACCACUUGGGACGAGGUACACAACGCCUACUACGCCGAAGUAUGAGCUGGCGAAGACGACCUUAACGAACCAACCCAAUGGUUGACCUCAGUACAAUUGGAAUCCAGGAAAGACCGAAGAAAUGACAACAGAAGAGACCAUGCAGGCCCACGACCCAAUCGUGAAAGACGUCAGCCAUAUGUCAGAGCCGCCAUCAUACCGCCUCCCCGUCACGACGAAGGCCCAUCUAGGUCGCAAAUAGGGACUCGCCGAAGUGAGAGAGCUAUGCCUCCCUUACUAUCUGCUCACGAUUUUUGUGUUUCUCCCUCAGAAAUAUUCUACGCGCUGGAGAAGCUCGACCCAAAAGUUAAGUGGCCGCAGAAGAUGAGGUCCGACCCGAGCACCAAAAAGUCAAACGCCCUUUGCGAAUACCAUAAGGAAUGGGGUCACAAAACCGAGGACUGUAUCACCUUAAAGCAAGAGGUCGUGAACAUGCUUCACCAAGGACACUUGAAAGAGCUGUUAAACGACCUAGGAAGGGCCAACUUUGCUCGAGGAUGCGAGCAGCACCAGGGUCCACCAAAACUGCCUUCUCCAGCUCGAACCAUUUAAAUGAUCAUUGGAGGGGGUGACGAUGCAUCAAUUAACAACGUAAAAUUCACGACCACCCGCAAGCUCAAAUGGUCGAUCACUCAUGAACGGUAUGACGAACUCGAAGAAAGUAUCAUCUUCGAUAAAUCAGAUACCCACGGUUUGAUUUUUCCUCCCUAUAACGCUCUUGUUAUCACUUUACACAUAUUAGAUAUAGAUGUGAAAUGUAUUAUGGUGGAUAAUGGGGGCGGUGCGUGCAUUAUCCAUCCUCGAGUACUUGCACAAAUGAAACUCGAAGAUAAGAUAGUGCCACGCUGCAUCACACUAAUGGGUUUUAAUAAUGCUGUUGAACGGACAUCUGGAAAAAUCACACUCCCCAUCCUGGCCGGUGGCGUCACUCUAGAAACCACGUUCCAUAUUAUGAAUCAGGACACGACGUACAAUGCCAUUAUAGGUCGACUUUGGAUACACGCAAUGAGAGCUAUCCCCUCCAGCUUGUACCAAGUCAUCAAGUUUCCCACCCCAUGGGGAGUAUUCAGCAUCUGAGUGGAACAACGCACUUCCCGAGAAUGUUAUCGCAUCGCCGAGGAUUGCACAUGCAUGCAACAAAUGAAGGACAAAGCCAAAGAGGCAUAGCAAUUAACAGGGUCGAGGUCGAGCGGUGAUGAAGGGAAAGACGUCAUCAAAGACCUCGAAAUCAUAAAGCCCAUGGGAUCAACCGUAGAAUAUCUCAACCUCGUCCAACUCAACAAAAACGACCAUAGCAAAAAAGCCUACAUUGGCCACAAACUUCAGGAACUAGGUAAAUUCCAUCAUUUCUUAACUAACAACGCAGAAUUGUUUGCCUUUUCCCUACCAAGCAUCCCGAAGGAGAUAGCAACACACAGGUUGAACGUCGACCCACUUUACCCCCCAGUAAGGCAAGUUAGGCAAAAAUUCAAUUCUGCAAUAAAUGAUGCAGUCCGCGAGGAGGUUGAAAAACUGCUGGAAAUGGCUCCAUCAGAGAAUCAAAGUACCCCUAAUAGGUUGCCAACUUAGUCAUGGUGAAAAGGAAGAAUGAAAAAUGGCGGAUGUGCAUGGACUUCACAGAUUUGAACAAAGCAUGCUCGAAAGACUCAUUCCCGUUGCCCCAUAUCGAUCAGCUCAUUGACGCAACAGCUGGGCACGAGUUAUUAAGCUUCUUACACGCUCAUUGACGCAACAGCUGGGCACGAGUUAUUAAGCUUCUUACACGCUUUCAAUAGCUACAACCAGAUCCUCAUGGAAGACGAAGACUAGGAAAAUACCACCUUUAUCACCCACUAGGGGAUGUAUUGUUACAAGGUGAUGCCUUUCGGACAAAAACAAUGCAGGGGCAACAUAUUAGAGGUUGGUGACAAAGAUGUUCAAAGACCAACUCGGAAAAACCAUGGAGGUAUACAUCGAUGAUAUGUUGGUCAAGUCAAAAAGAAAAGAGGAACAAAUCGAUCACUUGAAAGAGACCUUCGACAUACUCAGGCGAUAUGGAAUGAAAUUGAACCCUGAAAAGUGCGCCUUCGACGUAACCUCAGGGAAAUUCCUCGGUUUCCUAGUAUCACAAUGAGGCAUCAAAGUCAACCCCGACAAAUCAAAGCUAUAGACGAAAUACCGGAGAACUUAACCAGUAAGAAAUAGGUUUAGAGACUGACCGGUCGUAUAACCGCCAUGUCAAGAUUUAUCUCAUGGUCCUCCGACAGAUGCCACAAGUUCUUUAGCGUACUCAAGAAAGACAACGACCUCCAAUGGAGCCCUAAAUGCAUUAACGCCCUGAAAGAGUUAAAGACGUGCUUAUCUUCACCCCCACUACAUUAGUAAAACUUUAGUCGACGCCGAGACAAGGUAUCCACACCUCAAAAAGUUGUCCCUGGCUUUGGUCGUAGCUUCAAGAAAGCUUAGACCCUACUUCCAGUGCCACCCCAUCUCGGUAGUCACAACUUUUCCCCUAAGGAGUAUUUUGCAUAAACCCAAGCUGUCGGACAGAUUGGCCAAAUGGGUCAUAGAGUUAAGUGAGCAUGAUAUUACCUAUCAACCACGAACGGCGAUAAAGUCGCAAGUGCUUGUCGACUUCAGCACAAAAAUAAUGCUUGAAGUCGAAAGAGAAGCCGCCCACACCUCCCCCCAAAUACAGGACAUAUGGGUUUUGUAUACCGAUAGCACCUCUAACGCAUCGGGGUAUGAACUAGAAGUUGUGCUCGAGGUCCCGACAGGCCAAGUAAUUCGCCAGUCCAUAAGAUGCCCGGACAUGACUAACAAUGUGGCUGAGUAUGAGGUCGUGAUUGCAGGAUUAAGGUUAGAACUCAAGUACAAAGCAAAGCAAGUCAUCCUACGCUGCGACUCUCAGCUCGUCGUCAACCAAGUUACAGGGACUUUCCAAAUCAAAGAGUAAAUACUACAAAAAUAUCAAGCCGAUAUCUGCAAGCUGUUACCCGAAUUCGAUGAACCAGCUCGACCAAAUCCCUCGAGCACAGAACAUCGAAGCAUGCGGCCUUGCCAAACUAGCAGCAGCCACUAAAAGCAUAACCGGAGAAGGAAACGUGGUCACUCUCCUCCACUCAUCGAUCGAUCAAAUUGAGGUAAGAACUAUAAACCUAACUUGGGACUGGCGCAAUCGUAUUGUUACAUACUUGCAGGACAACGUGCUCUCAGAUGAUAAAAAAGAAGCCAAAAAGUUUCGAAUGCAGGCAGCCAGGUACAAUGUCAUAAACAACAACCUGUACAAAAGAACGUAUGGCGGCCCCCUAGCAAAAUGCUUAGGCCCAAACCAGACACGAUGCAUUCUAGAAGAAAUCCACGAAGGCUACCGCGGAGCUCAUUCCGUCAAUCGAGCUCUGGUUAGAUGUUUCAUACGAGCAGGCUACUACUGGCCCACCAUGAAAAAAGAUGUCGCUGACUUCGUGAAAAAAUACGAACAAUGCCAAAAAUAUGCCUCAAUGAUCCACCAAGCAAGCGAGAACCUCCAUUCAGUCACCUCACCUUGGCCUUUAAUCAAAUGGGGAUGGACAUCGUCAGCCCCCUUCCAGCAGGGCAAGGUAAUGUACGAUUUAUUUUAGUUUUAAGUGACUAUUUUUUCAAGUGGGUCGAAGCAGGUGCAUUUGUCCAGAUAUGCGAGCAAGAAGUGAUCGCCUUCAUAUGGAAGAAUAUUGUGUGCCGAUUCGGCCUCCCCAAAGAAAUUAGUUAUGACAACGGGCCUCAAUUCACCCAAAAAAAGAUCGUCGAGUUCUUCGAGAAAUGGCAUAUCAAUAGAAUACUCUCCACUCCAUAUCAUCCCGCGGGCAAUAGGCAACUAGAAUCCUCCAACAAAUUGAUACUGAAUAUCAUGAAGAAAAUGCUCGAGAAUGCCAAGGGACUAUGGCCGGAACUACUGCCGGAAGUGCUAUGGGCCUACCGCACAAUACCAAAAACAAGCACAGGAGAGACGCCUUACUCACUUGUUUAUGGGACUGAUACAGUAAUACCGGUCGAGGUCAUAGAACCAAGUCUGAGAUACUCGCAUGAGAGCGGGUCGAGAAACGGAAAAAAUAGAAGGCAAGACCUCGAUGAAGCCGAAGAACGGAUAGAUGUGGCUUACAUAAGGAUGAUCGCCCAAAAACAACAGGCAGAAAGCUACUACAACAAAAAAGCCAAGGUCAGACCACUCAAAGUCGGGGACUACGUACUCAGGCCAAAACAUAAGCAAGCAAGGAUCCACGGGAAGGAAAACUGGGAAUGAAUUAGGACGGCCCAUACACAAUCACAGCAACAGCAAACAAAGGGUCAUUUUAACUAGAAACGAUGGAAGGAAAACUACUACCAAACAACUAGAACAUCGCUCACCUCAAGUACUUCAACUUCUAAGGAAAAAUGUUCUCCGAGUCGUACUCUUUUUCCCUCACCUGAGUUUUGUCCCAAAUGGGUUUUCUCGGGGAGAUUUUUAAUGAGGCGACGAAGAGGAUAUUUCGAGUUAAGCAUGAGUAGGUGAGGACACGAGUUGACUAGUUCAUUGCCUGACCUCUCAAAUACUUCUCCAGGUCGACCAAUGAAGGGACUAGAUAGAUUGGGACUGGAAUACCAGCCCGAAAAACAUGUAAACUUCUCCAAUGUAUAUGUAAUCAAAGCAUACAAAUAUAUGAAGUUCACCCAUGUCUUCACCAAAUUAACGUUGCAUCAACUAAGAGUAACAUUCGACCUCGCUCGAAUUUAACUCAUUUGAGCACGUGAUUUUUUUUCCCUAUGUGAAAUACUCCUACAAAUUAAAGAAAUGAUUUUUUCCCAAAUUGUUUGCAAUUUUAUAGGAUUUUUGUAGGAUUUUAUUAAUUAUUUGCAUUUUUGUGCACGUUUAAUCCUGUUAAAAUCAUGAAAAAUGUCAAAAUAUCAUGCAUUGCAUUUAGAUUUCGUGUUCAUAUUUUAGGGUUAGUUAGUUAAUUAAUUGCUUUGUUAAAAUGAAAACCAUAAAAAUAUCACUCAUUUACAUUGUUUAGCUUUAAAUGCUAGAAUAGUAUUUUUCUCUUCAUUAAUUUAGGAUUAUGUAAGGCCCCGUGAAAAUUUUUGCUUAAAAACCCGAGAUCUCGUAGUGCCAAGUUAGGAAUAUGUGUUCGGACCCUUUGGAUUGAUCUGUGCAUUAAAAAGUUAAGGAAUAAUGUUUACAGAAAAACGUGUUUCUGUGGUCCAUUAUGCGGUUGCAUAAUUGCUAUGCGGACCACAAAGUCGCCGCAGAGUGAGGUAGUUUGAUGGUUAAUUUUGAGGUCAACUAUGCGGCCAAUUAUGCGAUCGCAUAAUCAAUAUGCAGGUCAUAUAGUCAUCGCAUAAUCUUCUUGGAAUUUUUGCGAGGGACAGUUCUGCGGUGCAUUAUGCAACCGCAAAACAAGUAUGCGGACCGCAUUCUUGUCGCAUACCCGGACAGUUUGUUCAGGUUUUGGGGGCCAUUUUUGCGGUCCCUUUUGCAGGACGCAUUUCCAUUAUGAGAUCGCAGAUCGUGUUGAGGAUCAUAUUUUCUAAUUAUUAAAAUCCGACCCCAUUCCGUUAAAACACCCAUAUUAGGCCAUUUUGAGCAUAUUUUUCUGAUAGUUUAGAGUGGGGGAAAGGAUCCUAGAGAGAGAAAGUGGUCUUCAUCAAUUGUUCUUCAAUUCUUGCUUAACCACCUUGAAUAUUAACAAGAGAGGCACCUAGGUCUCCUUCCCAAGAGGUAAGCUUCUAUCACCAAGCUCUUAAUUCCAAAAAUGCAGCUAAAAUGGGUAAUUAGCAAGAUGAUUCAUGGACUUGAGAGUUGUUUGUUUUGCAUGCAUGGGUAAUGAAAGAAUGUAGGAAGAUGAUGGGAUAAAAAUGAUUAAAAAAAAAGGGGUUGUGGAAUGGUGGAAUCUUACACAAAAGAGUCUUAAAACAUAAUGCACACAUAGUGUUUGAUAGAGUGUAUUAGUGAGCUAGAAUCUUGACUAUCCCUCUAAUUCUUGAUUCAACUUGUAAUGCUCAUAAAAUAGAUCGAAGUUGCUAGGAGUUCCGGAGUUAUUCUUAUUGUAAGAAUUUAAGGAAAGCUCUAUUGAGGUAUGUAUGGCUAAACCCCCCUCUUCUUAGAAAUUGAGCUCCGUUGAUGUCUAUGCAAAUGUGGUAAGACCAAAAUUUGGUNNNNNNNNNNNNNNNNNNNNNNNNNNNNNNNNNNNNNNNNNNNNNNNNNNNNNNNNNNNNNNNNNNNNNNNNNNNNNNNNNNNNNNNNNNNNNNNNNNNNNNNNNNNNNNNNNNNNNNNNNNNNNNNNNNNNNNNNNNNNNNNNNNNNNNNNNNNNNNNNNNNNNNNNNNNNNNNNNNNNNNNNNNNNNNNNNNNNNNNNNNNNNNNNNNNNNNNNNNNNNNNNNNNNNNNNNNNNNNNNNNNNNNNNNNNNNNNNNNNNNNNNNNNNNNNNNNNNNNNNNNNNNNNNNNNNNNNNNNNNNNNNNNNNNNNNNNNNNNNNNNNNNNNNNNNNNNNNNNNNNNNNNNNNNNNNNNNNNNNNNNNNNNNNNNNNNNNNNNNNNNNNNNNNNNNNNNNNNNNNNNNNNAGAAAGGGACAACGUCUUGGUGAGGCGACCUAGCCGAUCGGGCCGUGAUCGGAUUCCAUGCCGCACACAUAGUGGUAUUGUGCUGAUAUUGAAUUCCGAAAAGUGAGAAUGAUAUUGUAAUUGAGGUACAUGUCUCAAAAGAGGCAACCUAGCCGAUCGGGUCAUGAUCGGACUCCGCUCAAGAAAGCGGUGGUAUUGUGAAUGAUGAUGAACAAUAUUAAAUUCCCUAACUAAAGCAAUGGAAAUUAUGUAAAAGUUAUAUGAUUCUUUUUUUUUGAUGAUGUGGUGUUCGGUUAAAGCUUUUGAUUGUCUCUUGUGAUUUCCUUGUUCAUGUAUGAUAGUUCUUCUAAAAAAGAUGGUGUUUAGUUAUACAUACUAGUACUAUUCCAUGGUACUAACGUCCCUUUUGCCGAGGGCGCUACAUUUUUGAAAUGAAUGUAGGUGGUUCUAUAGCGAAAAAAAUGCCGAUCGCAGGUAGCGAAGUAUCCUCCUCUCAGAAAGUCUUGGUGAGCCCCUUUUCUUCCAAGGGUUAUAUUGUACAUCUUUUGUAUAAAUUACCACUUUUGAGGUAUGGUCGGGGCCUUGUUGCCGGCAUUAUCAUAACUGUCUUUUGUAUUCUUAGAGGCUCCGUAGAUGUUGAUGUGGGUUAUGUACGGGCAUUGGACAGGUCCCUAGACUAUAUUGUAACUCUAAACUCUUGUUUUCUCUAAAUUGGAACUGUAUGAAAUCUUGAAAAUUUAACUAUGGUUUGGAUGUGGUAAUAUGAAAUGAACUGGCAAUGUCAUAUGUACUAUCUUUCCGACUGUCUAAAUAAAUAAGUGAAAGCACGAUUUUCUUGGUCAUAGUGAGUUGGGUAGAAAGUGUUAAAAGGCUUGCUCGGUUGGGUUCACUCGAUUGAACGCCGGUCGCGCCUCCCGAGGUUGGGGCGUGACAGAUUAACUAGUUUUUGUAAAUAUUAUAAUUAGAUAAUUAGUUUAAUUUUACAAAUUAGAUUAAUUUAGGAUCUUAAUUAAUUAAAGAAAAGAAAAAGAAAACAAAGAGAAAAGAAUUUAAAAAAGGAUUAAUUAAGUUUUGAAGUUGGGCCAAUUUUUAAUACACAAACUCCAGCCCAGUUAAUUUAUUAGAAUUCCAUCCAAACUAGCUCCCCAGACCCGGUGGGGAUUCUCGGUGGACCUUCUGCUCGUUUGGCGACUAUUCUUGACAAGAGUAGUCAUUUGAGUCAGCUUCGACCCCUCUCGAAGCACCCAGGCUAUGGAUGAGUUUUUGCCAGCUUCUUCUUGGUCUACCAUUGCUGCUUGAACCGGUAUACCCCCGACCCCUCCCAUUUUUAUUAUUGUGUGCUUUCUUCGUCAGUUUAGUUUACAUGGUAGGUUAGGAUAAUUAACAAACAAAUCCCAGUUUAAUUUUAAUCAGUUUAAUUGUUUAAAUCAUUUGUUGGCAUGUUUGGAUUUGUGGUUAAUUGCAACAUGUAUUAGGAUAGUCUAAAAAAUAAGAUUAAUUAGGUGUUAAUUAAUUUAUUGGUAAUUACAAUCGAUCGUAGGGUAGUUUUAUUUGGAUUUAAUUAUUAGGUAAUCAAGUUCAGAAUGUUCAAAUGAUUUGCUAGGGUAAUUGGUGACAGAUUAUUUUUUACUUUGACAUAUGGUUCUGUUUUGACCAAUGAAGGUUUGAUUAGUUAAGGCCUGAAUUAUUAUUGAACUUGGGUUUGUCUUGGGCCUGUCUUGGGCCAUUUGGCUAGGACAGUUGGCCCAGACUAAAGGGGAAGGUUCUAGAAUUAUACAAGUUGUCUAGAAUUGAUUAAAAAAAUAUGUAAAAAUAUCUGAAUAUGGACAGUUGUCUAACAGCUGCCCAAUUUCGGUUAUGGAAAGAUUCUUUCUCCCUGAAAUUUAGGGGGUGGGGUUGAAGGGAAUAAUUCUUAUCCUUUUCAGUACAUGACAUAUUGAGCAUCUAUAAAGGGAUAAUUCUUAUCCCUCACUCAUCAGGGGAGAUUUUUCAAAUCCUAAAAAAUAUAGAAAAGUUGAGUGCUACAGUUCUAUUAGAGUUUCGACAAAGGGAGUUAGAACAAAGUUUUUCUCUGGGAAUUUCUGGUUGUCCAAGGUCCAAACAUGGUUUAAUUUAGAGUUGUGUUACUUGUUGUGUCUCUGAUGUUGACUGCAUAUUCUGUUUGGUUGCUUCACUAUCCAUUUCAGCUCACUACCUUAUUUUGUUCCUUGUAUCCAAGUACCUCUAUGAACUUUGAGUGGCAAAGUGAAGCCUAAAGCAUGUAUAAGUCUUUAAUGUAAUAAAGUUGGGUGUUCAAAUGUUGAAAUCCAAGUUUUAUCUUCAUGUAUGUUAUUUCAAGUCAGCUAGUUCAUAAUUUCUGUUUUAGUGUUUAAAUAUUUUGAAUCUGAUGUGCUAGUAUAUGACUUUGCCAAUUGUAUGGAUAUUCAGAUUAGUAUAAUUGUUCUAUGUGUGGUUUGACAGUCUCAAAAAUGGUUAAUUCUCAGUUCACUUGGUCUUUAUCUUAGAAUGAUAGAUAUGUACUGGACAUGUCCAAAGUAGGUCAUGUUUGAUUAUUAGGUGUGCUUAGUUGAAAUAUUGCACAUUUUAAAAUUGUUCAAGUGAUUGUAUGUUUAAGUUGAUUCAUGAAUACAUUUUAGGAUUUAAUCUUUCAUUGUUAAUGGUAUGUUAAUAGGUUAAAAUCAUGAUAUGGUUUUAUCAACCUUCAAUCUUCCCAGAAAUUUUGUAUUAUUUUGUGUGCAUGUGAUUUUGGGUUUAAUUUCGAAACAAAAUUGUCUCCGACAUUCUUUUACUCAUUAAGUUUUCUUAUUCAGAUAAUAAAAAAAGGUUCUAACGUUGAAGGCCUCUCAUCAAAAGUUGGGCCUGGUUUUGGCCCAAUCAAAUCUGCCCUGCCAAAAUCAGGCAAGCUUGAGGUCUUCACCUUCAAUCUUGGGCUCAACUUCAAGCCCAGUCCACAACCGCAUCUCCUUCAAAGAUUUUCCUUAGAUAAUAGGCCUCCUGAUGGCCCAAUAUUUCAAUGGUUAAAAGCGUGUACCAACUUCUAAUGCCUUAGCUAUAAUCCAUGGCCUGUCAAUAAACCUUGAAUUAAUUUAGGAAGUAAAUAUGAACUUUCGUAGUUUGCUUUAGGCACGUAAUUAAAUCAUCACAACUACGGGUACGGUUCUCGUGGCGUAGUUGUAAUACCUAAUUUCAAACUAAUUUUAAAUAUGAACGUUCGUAGUUCGCUUUAGUUGAUGUACAAUUUUUUUUUUCGAAAUAAAUUGAGGCGAGUCAUUUACAAAUGAAUCCCAUAAUCUAUGGCCCUCAUAUUAAUACCAAAACUAGUGUAGAAAACAUUUUAAACAUUCGUAGUUUGCUUUAGGUGCGUUUAUAAUAAAAUUAUCAUAGCUACGGGUACGGUUCCCGUGACGUAAUUGUGAUACAUAAUUUCCAAAUUCGGGGGUACAUUUAUGUGACCCGGCCACUAUUUCAAUUUUGUUAAUAAAUUAAAUAUGUUGUAGAUCGUGGGUACAGUUCCCGUGACACGAUUCGCGGUGUGUACUAGAUAAGUGUAUGACAAUCGUGAUUUUUCCUAAAUAAUUAAAGUGGUUAAAGGAAUAAAAAUGCACAAUAGGUAUAAAAUAUGUAAUUAAUCAGGUAAUUAGGCCAAUAAUAAUAGUUGAGCGACCGUGCUAAAACCACGGAAUUCGGGAAUGCCUAACAACUUCUCCCGGAUUAACAGAAUUCCUUACCCGAAUUUUUGUGUUUCGCGGACUGUAAAAUAGAGUCAAACUUCCUCGAUUUAGGAUUUUAAAUCGGUGACUUGGGACACCAUAAAUUAUCUCAAGUGGCAACUCUGAACUUAAAUAAAUAAUCCUGUUUCGAUUAUUGUCACUUUAAUUGGAAAAACUCCCUUAUACCCAUUUCCGGAUAGAAAAAAAGGAGGUGUGACAGCUUUGGCGACUCUGCUGGGGACAAGAACACAGAACUUCUUGUUUAGGGUUCAGAAUUCAAGCUUACAAUAACUGUUAUAGUUAGCUUUUAUUUAUUAUUUGAUUUUUACAUGUUUGAGCUUAAUGUGCUAAAUGCCGCUUUUUACCGCUUUGAUAUUAUUUGAACUGUAUAUAAACUGUUGCGAAAACCCUUCUCUUGUGAACUUCUAGGAAGUGCACGCUGGCGUGACUUCUUUUCUGUUAGUGUCAUACCCUAAUUUAGAACAAGGUUCGGACAAGUUGCAAAGCCGGAUGAUCUUUUGGUUACCGGUACGAUGUCCCCCCUUCCCCCGGCUCGAGUUGUCCGCUCGGGUAAGCCAGGUCUAGAAUAAUACACCCAGGUUUUAAACUUAGAAUAACACAGCCUCAUACCAGAUCCCUAGUAGGAACGCUUGUUUGCAUCAUGUGCAUUGGGGUUGGAUCCGUCUAGGACAGGUGUACCCGAAAAUAAAAAGACCAACCUGAUGCAUUUUUACGUGCUACCUGUGCAUUCAUUUGUUUUGGCUUGCAUGUUGACCGGCUUCUAGAUUAGGUAAGAAAAGUCAAAGAAAAACCAAAAAUAAGGUAGGAUAGAGAAAUUACCCGCCUUUGAAAAAAUCUAGUGUUCAAAAUAUCCCGAAACUCUGCCGAAAUUUUGAAAAAAAAAGAGAUUUUUGAAGAAAAAAAAGUUAGUCCAAAAUGGUUUCUGUUUUUCUCGUCGCGUCCAAACUAGCCGAACUACGCGGGUUUGAUUCUCACCGGAUGUGAGAUACGUAGGCAAUCCUCAUCGGGUCCAGCCCCACUUUUGAAAAUUUUGAAAAAAUAUGAAGUGUCGUCAUUUUUGUCGUAAAUAAAGUGGGUGAUGCCGUUUUUGUCUUAAUAGCCAAUGUCCCAACGGGACGCCGAAAGGCCAUUUUUGCAAGAAUAGCCAUCGACGAUUUCUUUGACAAUUUUGGGCCACAUAGCAAAACAGCCCUAAAAUCUACCCUUGUGAAGUGCUGAAGGGCCGUAUUUGCAAAAGUAGCCUUGAUUUAUUUGAAUUUUUGAAAAGUGAACCUUUCUUUUUAAUCAGCUUUCGAAUAAAAACUCACUUUGUUUUAAACCAACCACCCUAAUCUAAAUGUGCAGAUUGAGCACGAGUCAAAAUUUACCAAUGAAGGUUAUGUACAAGAUUCCGUUGGAACUACACAUGUGGUGGGAAAAUUAGGGUAAGCAAGGACGAGACCUGGUCAACCAUUAUUUGGGAGCGCUCACUGGAUUACAUAAGAUCAGGCCUAGGGGAAACAUAAUAAAGGCACUGGUGAUAUUUUGGGACCCAACUCACAACGUUCUGCAUUUCUCGGACUUCGAACUCACACCCACUUUGGAGGAGAUAGCUGAUUAUGCUGGGAGUACCGAGGGUCUAAGACAUAAAUACAUGGUCGCUCCAAGGGCCAUCACCUCUCACAAGUUUUUGGAUUUGCUAAAAAUAAGCAGGCAGCUCUAGUAUGUAGAUUUGGCGGAUGGGUUUUCCACUCUAUACUUCAUAUACCAGCGGUACAGGCAUGUAAGAGGAUUUGACAACCCAGAAAGUGGAGUCUGUAGUAAAGGGAACCGAUCAAAGUGGGAAGAGCAUAGAUGUUUCGCUUUCAUGGUGGCAUUCUUGGGCCUUCUAGUAUUUCCCAUGAAGGACGGGAAUAUUGAUCUACGGGUAGCUGGAGUUGUCAACGUUUUGAUUAUCAAUGCCAAGAGCACCCUCGCCCCUAUGAUAGUAUUUGAGAUAUUUCGAGCUCUCACGGCUUGCAAAGCCGGAGCAGAUUUUUUCGAAGGGUACAAUUUGUUGCUACAAAUGUGGAUGAUUGAGCACCUGUGUCAUCGGCCUCCAUAUAUGAAUUACGGAUCUACAAGGAAAAGCUGCAUUGAGGAGUUCAGCACAAGGGUCUCGGGGUUCAAAAUGCCUUGAAGGGGUCGGAGAUUGGAUAUCCCACCUUCAUUCCAUAGCUGCAGGGCAGAUAGAAUGGAUACUAGGUUGGCUUCCUGUUGAAGAAAUUGUGUACAUGCCUGCCACCGGUCCUUACUUCCUCCUAAUAAGCCUUCGGGGCAUCCAGCCUUAUGCCCCAUACCGGGUGUUGAAACAGUUGGGAAGAUGCCAGGUAGUUCACCAGGAUGAAGAUCUUAGUGUUCAUGCAGUUGAAAUCAGUUUUGAUGGCCAAUUUCAUGAAGAAGUGGUUCGUCAUAUUUUGAACGAGUGCCAAUAUUUGACAGCAAACACUCGAGUACGUGACUUGUCUAAAGGCGAGGUCUUGCCUGGUUACCUUGCUUGGUUUAGAAAGAAGGUCACUGCAAGGGUCGAACCCGAAAGGCCGACCAAACGGCCUCACAUUCAGGAAUUUAUUGAAGCGUCGCAAGAAUAAUGGGCCUGGUUGACCAAAGAAAACGAGUAUAGGGCCACUAUAAGCAAGUUGAAAAAGCAAGUUAGAGAUCUUCAAUUUGAGAGUGGUUUGCAAGCCGCUGCAGACGAGGGUGAAAAUAAAAGGUUAGCCCAAGAAAAUGAACCCCUCUGAGCCCAAAUCCAGAAGAUGAAAAUAGCAGCUGAGAACCCUGCCAGAAAUGGAAAAU
RNAcentral lists this long non-coding RNA (34487 nucleotides) under Nicotiana tabacum (common tobacco). Its description in RNAcentral is "long non-coding RNA (NTAB_LNC004034)". The record is from RNAcentral. Lineage: Eukaryota; Viridiplantae; Streptophyta; Magnoliopsida; Solanales; Solanaceae.